GACGAACGCUGGCGGCGUGCCUAAUACAUGCAAGUCGAACGCAGUGGGGACGGGUGAGUAACACGUGGGUAACCUCCCAUCAGAGGGGAGAACCCUUGGCAACAGGUGCUAAACCGAUACUGAUGGAUGGACCCGCGGUGCAUUAGCUAGUUGGUGAGGUAACGCCUCACCAAGGCCACGAUGCUUAGCCGACCUGAGAGGGUGAUCGGCCACACUGGGACUGAGACACGGCCCAGACUCCUACGGGAGGCAGCAGUAGGGAAUCUUCUGCAAUGGACGAAAGUCUGACCGAGCAACGCCGCGUGAGUGAAGAAGGUUUUCGGAUCGUAAAACUCUGUCGUUAGAGAGGCGGUAUCUAACCAGAAAGCCACGGCUAACUACGUGCCAGCAGCCGCGGUAAUUC
Molecule: ribosomal RNA, 403 nt
Filed under: uncultured bacterium
Lineage: Bacteria
Description: partial 16S ribosomal RNA
Rfam family: Bacterial small subunit ribosomal RNA
Source: RNAcentral